UUUUUUUGUCUGGCGCCGCCCUCCUUUCCUCUCCCAUUUGUCUCCACCAGUUAAAAGUAUGCAUGUUUUUCUUAAUUUAUUUUGUUUCAUCCAGCUCCAAACAACACCGCAUACUUCUUGUCAAAUUGUGGUAAAUGGCACAAUUGUCCAGAAGGGUGCAGGUUGAAGAUAUUCAACCCAUCCUUUAAGCUGUUUAAAAAGAUGUAAGUAUCUUUCUCUCGCCCUCGUCCCUUUAGAGCACUUUACAAACUGAGCAGUGAUGGCAGGAGUGCUUUCUACCCGUUAGAUGAAAUACAUUUAAUUUGCUACGUGACUUCAAUUAUAAAUAUACAGAGCAAAAUGUAUCUAUACACCUGUAAUUUGAGUGUAUAUGUACAAAUGCAUUGCUCUUUUGUAUAUGGUGGCUUCUUGUUUCUGUUCAAUUCAAAUGCAAGCAUGUUGGUGUCUGUCACAGACCUCUUGGCAUUCUCAGGGGACGUUUUUAUUUUCUGUUUUACAUCUGUUAGGCUAGUGUGUGAGGGGGGGGGCAAAAUCUGGUUAUAAUGAAAAAUAUAUUUUGGAGCCUAAAUGUUGGCAGUUUAAAGUAAUAUUUAUCGCUUUCACUAAACACUGCAUACCUUCAUAGGAGAGCGUGACUGGCCUUUCCAAACAGCACAGACAACAAUGUUAUUUAAUUUGCACAGGAGCAGUCUGGUUGCAACAUGGAUUUUUAAAAGAAGCAUAAUGGACUGACUGCUGUCGGCCGCCUCAAACCCUCAGAGCUGCAAAUUUUUGGAGUUUGAGUGCCGCUGAACUCCCGUGCUACACGGUAAAAAUGUUCAACCAAAAUGACCAAAGUCCCCAAAAACAGCUCAAUGACCAGAGCCUCCAUCCAAAGAAAACCUCUGCAUGCAUGGACGCUGAAAAGAUAAAGCCUAUUUAUUUGCAAUAUUGUUACUUUGAAGUCUUUUUGAAUUGGAUAAAUCAGUUAGAUGUAUGUGUACUGCCUGCAUUUAUUUGUAACCAUUUGUUAGCUGAUAUUCUGAAACCUGUUUUCCAUUUUAUUGUCAUGAGACAAAAUGGAGAAACACAACAUGAAAUGUCAUGUUUGUACAGUUGAAUAAGAUUGGUUUCAUUUUACCUUUUAAUUGUUUGACUUUGAGGCUAAAAGUGCAUUAAACAUUUUUUUUUUUUGCACACAUUAUGCAUACCUGGGCUCCAAGUUAUAAUCAGACACUUCCUUCUAUUUACCAAAUAGUUAAUGGGCUGAUAGUUUUUUUUUCAUGUAGAUAAAACGCACAUAUAUAUAUAUAUUUACACAUUUUCUUGAUAUGCACACGUGUAUGUUCUCAAGCUCACACUCCACUUCCGCUCUUUGUAACUUUUUUAGGGCACCACGUUUUCUGGCUGGUUCAGUCUUCAGUGCAAACGUUUUGUCGGUAGAAAUCCCACAUUUUCCCAGUAAAGCAGCCAAAUUGGUCAAACAUUUUUGACAUUCUGGCAAGUUAUCAAAAAGUGGAAAGACAAAUGCCUUGAAAACCUGUGAUAGGAAAAGAUUUUUUUCUAGGCUGAUCUGAAUAGAUUUUAGAACCAGUUAAAUAAUUUAGUUCGAUGCUGGUUUGAUUGGUAACAAACCAAAACAAGCUCUAUAAUGUUCAACUCUCCGCAGUUCAAGUACAAAGCGUGUGCGCGCAAGUGACUAAAUUCAGUACCAAACAAUAUGACAUUAAAAAAAAUAUUUUAGUUUUUUUAAACUGCACCAUGUUGUAUUUCUUUUGAUUGGAGAUUUCUGUUUUUCUAUUUAUUAUUACAGUGUACUGUAUUCAUAGUUUUUCACAUCAGCUGCUCUGUGAGCGUGUAACUGACACCUGUGCAGAAGUACAAUAAAGAAGCAAAGUAAUAAACUUCUUGUACCGUUGCAGAAAGCUGAGCAAUAAAACUAUGCUGUUUGGACCUCACAGCAUUAUGUUUUACAGAACCACGUGUACGGUGCUGUCAUUUUUUGUACUGUAAUGGGGGUCGUUGUGGCGCAGGG
Molecule: long non-coding RNA, 2014 nt
Organism: Gasterosteus aculeatus aculeatus (three-spined stickleback)
Lineage: Eukaryota; Metazoa; Chordata; Actinopteri; Perciformes; Gasterosteidae
Source: Ensembl